CGCUGGCGGCGUGCCUAACACAUGCAAGUCGAGCGAUGAAGUCUUCGGAACGGAUAGCGGCGGACGGGUGAGCAACACGUGGGUAACCUGCCUUGUAGAGGGGGAUAGCCUUCCGAAAGGAAGAUUAAUACCGCAUAACAUCUUUUUAUCGCAUGGUAGAAAGAUCAAAGGAGCAAUCCGCUACAAGAUGGACCCGCGGCGCAUUAGCUAGUUGGUGAGGUAACGGCUCACCAAGGCGACGAUGCGUAGCCGACCUGAGAGGGUGAUCGGCCACAUUGGAACUGAGACACGGUCCAGACUCCUACGGGAGGCAGCAGUGGGGAAUAUUGCGCAAUGGGGGGAAAAACCCCUGACGCAGCAACGCCGCGUGAAUGAAGAAGGCCUUAGGGUUGUAAAGUUCUGUUUACGGGGACGAUAAUGACGGUACCCGUGGAGGAAGCCACGGCUAACUACGUGCCAGCCGCUGC
RNAcentral lists this ribosomal RNA (467 nucleotides) under uncultured bacterium. RNAcentral's name for it is "bacterial SSU rRNA". It matches the Rfam family "Bacterial small subunit ribosomal RNA", at positions 34 to 518 of the family's 1533-position model. The record is from RNAcentral.